GACGAACCGUCCAAACGUUAUUCGGAAUUACUGGGCUUAAAGGGUGCGUAGGCGGCCUGACAAGUUGGGUGUGAAAUACCUCGGCUCAACCGAGGAACAGCGCUCAAAACUGUCAGGCUUGAGGGAGAUAGAGGUGAGCGGAACUUAAGGUGGAGCGGUGAAAUGCGUUGAUAUCUUAAGGAACACCCGUGGCGAAAGCGGCUCACUGGAUCUCUUCUGACGCUCAUGCACGAAAGCUAGGGGAGCAAAC
RNAcentral lists this ribosomal RNA (250 nucleotides) under uncultured bacterium. RNAcentral describes it as "partial 16S ribosomal RNA". It matches the Rfam family "Bacterial small subunit ribosomal RNA", at positions 524 to 773 of the family's 1533-position model. The record is from RNAcentral.